AUUGAACGCUGGCGGCAUGCUUUACACAUGCAAGUCGAACGGCAGCGCGGGCUUCGGCCUGGCGGCGAGUGGCGAACGGGUGAGUAAUGCAUCGGAACGUGCCCAGUAGUGGGGGAUAGCCCGUCGAAAGCCGGAUUAAUACCGCAUACGACCUGAGGGUGAAAGCGGGGGAGCGAAAGGCCUCGCGCUAUUGGAGGGGCCGAUGUCGGAUUAGCUAGUUGGUGGGGUAAAGGCUUACCAAGGCGACGAUCCGUAGCUGGUCUGAGAGGACGACCAGCCACACUGGGACUGAGACACGGCCCAGACUCCUACGGGAGGCAGCAGUGGGGAAUUUUGGACAAUGGGGGCAACCCUGAUCCAGCCAUGCCGCGUGCGGGAAGAAGGCCUUCGGGUUGUAAACCGCUUUUGUUCGGGAAGAAAUCCUCUGGGCUAAUACCCCGGGGGGAUGACGGUACCGGAAGAAUAAGCACCGGCUAACUACGUG
Molecule: ribosomal RNA, 484 nt
Filed under: uncultured bacterium
Lineage: Bacteria
Description: partial 16S ribosomal RNA
Rfam family: Bacterial small subunit ribosomal RNA
Source: RNAcentral